CUUUCCCUCCAGAGUGGAUCCUGAGUACGGCGGAACACGUGAAAUUCCGUCGGAAUCCGGGAGGACCAUCUCCCAAGGCUAAAUACUCCCUAGUGACCGAUAGUGAACCAGUACCGUGAGGGAAAGGUGAAAAGCACCCCGGAAGGGGAGUGAAACAGUUCCUGAAACCGUGUGCCUACAAGUAGUUAGAGCCCGUUAAUGGGUGAUAGCGUGCCUUUUGUAGAAUGAACCGGCGAGUUACGAUUUGUUGCAAGGUUAAGCGGAAAAAGCGGAGCCGUAGCGAAAGCGAGUCUGAAUAGGGCGCAUAAGUAACAGGUCGUAGACCCGAAACCAGGUGAUCUACCCAUGUCCAGGAUGAAGGUAAGGUAAUACUUACUGGAGGUCCGAACCCACGCACGUUGAAAAGUGCGGGGAUGAGGUGUGGGUAGCGGAGAAAUUCCAAUCGAACUUGGAGAUAGCUGGUUCUCUCCGAAAUAGCUUUAGGGCUAGCCUCGAGGUAAAGAGUCAUGGAGGUAGAGCACUGUUUGGACUAGGGGCCCUUCUCGGGUUACCGAAUUCAGAUAAACUCCGAAUGCCAUGUACUUAUACUCGGGAGUCAGACUGCGAGUGAUAAGAUCCGUAGUCGAAAGGGAAACAGCCCAGACCACCAGUUAAGGUCCCCAAAUAUAUGUUAAGUGGAAAAGGAUGUGGGGUUGCUUAGACAACCAGGAUGUUGGCUUAGAAGCAGCCACCAUUGAAAGAGUGCGUAAUAGCUCACUGGUCGAGUGACCCCGCGCCGAAAAUGUACCGGGGCUAAACAUAUUACCGAAACUGUGGAUGAACCUCUUUAGAGGUUCGUGGUAGGAGAGCGUUCUAAGGGCGGUGAAGUCAGACCGGAAGGACUGGUGGAGCGCUUAGAAGUGAGAAUGCCGGUAUGAGUAGCGAAAGAAGGGUGAGAAUCCCUUCCACCGAAUAUCUAAGGUUUCCUGAGGAAGGCUCGUCCGCUCAGGGUUAGUCGGGACCUAAGCCGAGGCCGAUAGGCGUAGGCGAUGGACAACAGGUAGAGAUUCCUGUACCAGUGCUAAUUGUUUAACCGAUGGGGUGACACAGAAGGAUAGGGAAUCGCACGAAUGGAAAUGUGCGUCCAAGCAGUGAGUGUGAGAAGUAGGCAAAUCCGCUUCU
RNAcentral lists this ribosomal RNA (1161 nucleotides) under Listeria innocua. RNAcentral describes it as "partial 23S ribosomal RNA". It matches the Rfam family "Bacterial large subunit ribosomal RNA", at positions 388 to 1549 of the family's 2925-position model. The record is from RNAcentral. Lineage: Bacteria; Bacillati; Bacillota; Bacilli; Caryophanales; Listeriaceae.